RNAcentral lists this ribosomal RNA (300 nucleotides) under uncultured cyanobacterium. RNAcentral describes it as "bacterial SSU rRNA". It matches the Rfam family "Bacterial small subunit ribosomal RNA", at positions 356 to 670 of the family's 1533-position model. The record is from RNAcentral. Lineage: Bacteria; Bacillati; Cyanobacteriota.
GGGGAAUCUUCCGCAAUGGGCGAAAGCCUGACGGAGCAAUACCGCGUGAGGGAGGAAGGCUCUUGGGUUGUAAACCUCUUUUCUCAGGGAAGAAAAAAAUGACGGUACCUGAGGAAUAAGCAUCGGCUAACUCCGUGCCAGCAGCCGCGGUAAUACGGAGGAUGCAAGCGUUAUCCGGAAUGAUUGGGCGGAAAGGGGCCGCAGGGGGCAUUGUAAGUCUGCUGUGAAAGAUGUUGGCUCAACCAAAUAAAGGCAGUGGAAACUACAAAGCUAGAGGUUGGGCGGGGCAGAGGGGAAUGC